Molecule: ribosomal RNA, 429 nt
Filed under: uncultured bacterium
Lineage: Bacteria
Description: bacterial SSU rRNA
Rfam family: Bacterial small subunit ribosomal RNA
Source: RNAcentral
UGGGGAAUAUUGGACAAUGGGGGAAACCCUGAUCCAGCAACGCCGCGUGGAGGAUGAAGGUCUUCGGAUUGUAAACUCCUGUUAGGGGGGACGAAGGGAUGCCGGCGAACAGUCGGCAAACUUGACGGUACCCCCAGAGGAAGCCCCGGCUAACUCUGUGCCAGCAGCCGCGGUAAUACAGAGGGGGCAAGCGUUAUUCGGAAUUAUUGGGCGUAAAGGGCGCGUAGGCGGCCUUGUAAGUCUUGGGUGAAAUCCCUCAGCUCAACUGAGGAACUGCCUCGGAUACUGCAGGGCUUGAGGCCGGGAGAGGGUAGUGGAAUUCCCAGUGUAGCGGUGAAAUGCGUAGAUAUUGGGAGGAACACCGGUGGCGAAGGCGGCUACCUGGACCGGUUCUGACGCUGAUGCGCGAAAGCGUGGGGAGCAAACAGG